This 497-nucleotide ribosomal RNA is filed under the name uncultured bacterium. RNAcentral describes it as "partial 16S ribosomal RNA". It matches the Rfam family "Bacterial small subunit ribosomal RNA", at positions 28 to 507 of the family's 1533-position model. The record is from RNAcentral.
GAUGAACGCUGGCGGCGUGCCUAAUACAUGCAAGUCGAGCGAACAGACGAGGAGCUUGCUCCUCUGACGUUAGCGGCGGACGGGUGAGUAACACGUGGAUAACCUACCUAUAAGACUGGGAUAACUUCGGGAAACCGGAGCUAAUACCGGAUAAUAUAUUGAACCGCAUGGUUCAAUAGUGAAAGACGGUUUUGCUGUCACUUAUAGAUGGAUCCGCGCCGCAUUAGCUAGUUGGUAAGGUAACGGCUUACCAAGGCAACGAUGCGUAGCCGACCUGAGAGGGUGAUCGCCCACCCUGGAGCUUGGCCACGGUCCAGGCUCCUACGGGAGGCAGCAGUAGGGAAUCUUCCGCAAUGGGCGAAAGCCUGACGGAGCAACGCCGCGUGAGUGAUGAAGGUCUUCGGAUCGUAAAACUCUGUUAUUAGGGAAGAACAAAUGUGUAAGUAACUAUGCACGUCUUGACGGUACCUAAUCAGAAAGCCACGGCUAACUACGUG